UUAGCGCCAGGACUUAUUAUUAUUUUAAGUUGACGAGGUCUAGAGUUAUCGAAAGAUUCGGCGGAUGCUCUAGUGGUAUAUUACUACCAUAAACUAAAAGAAAAAAUAGUAGUAAUACUAUAACAA
RNAcentral lists this non-coding RNA (126 nucleotides) under bovine gut metagenome. RNAcentral describes it as "glmS glucosamine-6-phosphate activated ribozyme". It matches the Rfam family "glmS glucosamine-6-phosphate activated ribozyme aptamer", at positions 11 to 147 of the family's 167-position model. From Rfam's summary of the family: This entry contains a glucosamine-6-phosphate activated ribozyme that is found in the mRNA for GlmS. GlmS is an enzyme that uses fructose-6-phosphate and glutamine to generate glucosamine-6-phosphate. The record is from RNAcentral. RNAcentral also lists the same sequence under 1 other name.